CAGCAUCUCGUUAGCCUUUCUGACCAAGGUGGAAUUAGAGUGUGAUGGAGACAAAGUAGAAGCCUGUGGCCAAGCCCAGCAGUUCCGGAAGGUCCCUCCCAGGCUCUGGCCUGCAGCCUGGCCUCCCGAUUGCCUCUUGUUAAUGAGAGCUGAGUGGCAGGUGGUGGAUUGCUUACAGAUGGCAAGAGGGCCAAAGGCAGCUAAGACGGGCCAGUGGGGCCAGGACUUCAUUUAGACAGAUGUGUGGGAUGGAGAGCACAUUGGACCCAGGCCGCAGCUGAGUGAGCAGUGGGCAGGAAGCUGAUCUGGUCUGUUCCAGGCUGUACAAUGUCUGCCCAAGUGGAACUUCAGUUCGCUUGGUGAAGAAGACACAACACUUGGAGAGAAGCCCAGGUCUCCAGCCAGUGGCUGUGGGCUGCACAUGGCCUGACCCAAAUGGAAACACAGGAAAACAGAGCUGCAGCAAUGCUGGGCUAAAGAAGCUUCCGGACCUUGUCUUCUUCCUUUCUCUCCUUCCUUCCUUUCUUCCUUCCUUUUUUGGUAACUGCAUUCACUGAUUUUUUUUUUUUUUAAUCUUUGUGACCACAGUGCCUGUCAGAAUCGAGGGAAGAAAGGUUGAUUUGGCUCAUGACUCUGAGGGCUCCCAUCCAUCACAGUGGAAGUGCUUGGAUCAUCAUGGCUGUGGGAGCCCAUGGCAAGGCUAUUCACAUCGCAUUGACCAGGAAGAAGAACGUACAGGAAGCAGGCAGGGUGAUGUGCUCUCAAGGGCCUGCCCCCUGACUCACUUCUUCCAGAGUUCUCUUGAUGCUUUGGGGACACAGAAGUUGAAAUAAGUGACAUCCAUCUGCUGAAGGUGACACAGCAUUUCGGGCCAUUGACGCAGUUUCAGAGGCUCCUCUGUUUUUCCAGAACCUUCUAAGAGGUGAAGGAGACGCCAGAUGGACACAUAAAGGCCCUGCCAUGGACACAUCAAGAGGAUACAAACUAUGGACAGA
This 995-nucleotide long non-coding RNA is filed under the name Cricetulus griseus (Chinese hamster). RNAcentral describes it as "lncRNA (ENSCGRG00015043458.1)". The record is from RNAcentral. Lineage: Eukaryota; Metazoa; Chordata; Mammalia; Rodentia; Cricetidae.